GUAGGUGGCAAGCGUUGUCCGGAAUUAUUGGGCGUAAAGCGCGCGCAGGCGGUUCUUUAAGUCUGAUGUGAAAGCCCACGGCUCAACCGUGGAGGGUCAUUGGAAACUGGAGAACUUGAGUACAGAAGAGGAAAGCGGAAUUCCACGUGUAGCGGUGAAAUACGUAGAGAUGUGGAGGAACACCAGUGGCGAAGGCGGCUUUCUGGUCUGUAACUGACGCUGAGGCGCGAAAGCGUGGGGAGCAAACAGGGAUUAGAUACCCUGGUAGUCCACGCCGUAAACGAUGAGUGCUAAGUGUUAGGGGGUUUCCGCCCCCUUAGUGCUGCAGCUAACGCAUUAAGCACUCCGCCUGGGGAGUACGGCCGCAAGGCUG
Molecule: ribosomal RNA, 373 nt
Filed under: uncultured organism
Description: partial 16S ribosomal RNA
Rfam family: Bacterial small subunit ribosomal RNA
Source: RNAcentral